Molecule: ribosomal RNA, 336 nt
Filed under: Triticum aestivum (bread wheat)
Lineage: Eukaryota; Viridiplantae; Streptophyta; Magnoliopsida; Poales; Poaceae
Description: partial small subunit ribosomal RNA
Source: RNAcentral
AUGCCAUUCUUAUUCAAGGUGGAGACGCUUGGAGAGCUUGAAAUGCGGCUGUGUGAUCUCUCCUGGAGCCACCAUUUUCAGGAAGGGAAAGCUGUGAAUAAAAAGGAUGCACUUGUCAGCUCAAAGGGUUCAAGCUCAACAUUUUGUUAUGUACAGGAAAAUCCUUUCAGGGGGAAGGCAGAACAAGGCAUCACCUUUCCGAGGGUCCUCGGCCUCUUCCUGAUGAUCAGGCUGCUGCUGCUGCUAGGAGUGGCGGAUCUGGUCAGUGAGGAGAGGACCGUAUCGUCGUCGUCGCGGCCUCCGUCGGAACCUUCUUCGGCCUCGCCGUUGCGAUGA